AGUGAACGCUGGCGGUAGGCCUAACACAUGCAAGUCGAACGGCAGCACAGUAAGAGCUUGCUCUUACGGGUGGCGAGUGGCGGACGGGUGAGGAAUACAUCGGAAUCUACUUUUUCGUGGGGGAUAACGUAGGGAAACUUACGCUAAUACCGCAUACGACCUACGGGUGAAAGUAGGGGAUCUUCGGACCUUGCGCGAUUGAAUGAGCCGAUGUCGGAUUAGCUAGUUGGCGGGGUAAAGGCCCACCAAGGCGACGAUCCGUAGCUGGUCUGAGAGGAUGAUCAGCCACACUGGAACUGAGACACGGUCCAGACUCCUACGGGAGGCAGCAGUGGGGAAUAUUGGACAAUGGGCGCAAGCCUGAUCCAGCCAUACCGCGUGGGUGAAGAAGGCCUUCGGGUUGUAAAGCCCUUUUGUUGGGAAAGAAAAGCAGCAGGUUAAUACCCCGCUGUUCGGACGGUACCCAAAGAAUAAGCACCGGCUAACUUCGU
This 491-nucleotide ribosomal RNA is filed under the name uncultured bacterium. RNAcentral describes it as "partial 16S ribosomal RNA". It matches the Rfam family "Bacterial small subunit ribosomal RNA", at positions 29 to 506 of the family's 1533-position model. The record is from RNAcentral.